RNAcentral lists this ribosomal RNA (201 nucleotides) under Lactobacillus sp. L18. RNAcentral describes it as "partial 16S ribosomal RNA". It matches the Rfam family "Bacterial small subunit ribosomal RNA", at positions 328 to 526 of the family's 1533-position model. Lineage: Bacteria; Bacillati; Bacillota; Bacilli; Lactobacillales; Lactobacillaceae. The record is from RNAcentral.
ACUGCUGCCUCCCGUAGGAGUAGGGGGAAUCUUCCACAAUGGACGAAAGUCUGAUGGAGCAACGCCGCGUGAGUGAAGAAGGGUUUCGGCUCGUAAAACUCUGUUGUUAAAGAAGAACAUAUCUNAGAGUAACUGUUCAGGUAUUGACGGUNUUUAACCAGAAAGCCACGGCUAACUACNUGCCAGCAGCCGCGGUAAUAC